Strongylocentrotus purpuratus (purple sea urchin) is the source of this 2336-nucleotide long non-coding RNA. RefSeq lists it as uncharacterized. NCBI's taxonomy places the organism in Eukaryota, Metazoa, Echinodermata, Echinoidea, Camarodonta, Strongylocentrotidae. The record is from RefSeq and is a predicted model, not a curated record. The transcript has 3 exons.
CCAACAGCACACAUUUUGGACCCCCAAUAGACGCCAAUACUAAUAGUUAACAGAGCGCUCGAUGAUUUAUUGUGUACUCUGAUAAGGGAGGACUAGCUAUCCACCGGGUCUGUUGCACUGGUGUGUUCUUAACAACAAAGGGCGGGGUAAACUUGUACUCGAUCUGCCAGUGAAGCUGUACCAUUCUCUCAUUGGUGUUUAAUCGGCUUAUAACACUGCGUCGCCGUCCAAACAGGAAACGCUGUGUACAUCAAAGCACACAUUAAUUACAAGCCAAGGCAAUAAGGCAUACCAGACGAGUCCAGGAACAGGCCUAGCUAGUCCAGAAGAUCGAUGCUUAAACUUUGGAUACAUUAUAAACCAUAGGAAAAUAUAUCAACGAAUAUAUCUACUACUCGACAGAUCACGCAACAGGGACCGCGAACCGAUUUUCCUUGGAACAUAACAGCGGGCGGACAACCAGCACAGCUGUCGUGGAAUUAUAUCACUGCCCUGUUCAAACACAUGCUAUAGAUUUAGAUUGGAUCUAUAUAUUGGAUUGGAUAUUGGAGCUAUUAUAUCUUUCAUUUUUAAAAGCUCUUUGAUAUUUCGAAAUGGCGUCUUCGUCAACUCAAAUGGCGCUUCACAAGAACAUUGAUCAGCUUCAGAGGGAACUCAAUGUGGAGCGGGUCAAAGUCUCACAGUGCACAGCUGACCUUGUUCAAUACUGCGAGCAGGAAAUGGGGAAUGACUUUCUCUUGACAAGAGAACUGCAUGUCGGUCAGCUCAACAACUACAAAGACAAGAAAGGAGGCUGUACAUUACUCUAGUUCAUUCAUUCAUUCUGAAUCACAUCUGAACAUCCCAUCUGCUUUUCCAGACACCAAGCCGACCAUGUGUAUAACAGGGUCCUCCUGAAAACUUGAGAAAAUACAACUUAUUCGCACAGAAUCACCCGAUUAUAUUAUAUAAAGCAAUCUACAUGUAUUUUACACCUACACCUGUAGAUAUACUGGACGAAUUUUAAUCAUGUGUGUACUUUUAAAUGGUUUUAAAUGUUGAGUUUCGUCAUAAGUGAGAUUUUGUUUGUGAGUGUGUGUGUAACCUUUGUUUUAAGUAUGUCUAAUUUCAUUUGGAGAAAGGUCUUUAUAUCAAUAUAUGGCUAUAUGAUCUGCUUUUAAUAUUUUCAUUGUAAUAUUGAAGUUUGUCGCGUUGACUAACUGACACAACUAUAAAAUAUCAAAGGGUGAUUGAUCAUUGGUUAUGUGAUUGCAGAUUGUACAGUUUUCAUUCCGCAAGACGUCGAGCUGCGACUUAUAAAGACCGACGGCCCAAUAACUCAUAUACAGAUUAUAGCCCACGAGACCGAUAUCCCGUUUGACCGACAUCCCUCUAGAUCGAUAAUGUUGGUUUAUUGUGCCAUCUUACAAUUUUCUGAGGUUUCAACAGUCCAUUGGGUCUAAUGGGAGGUCGGUCAAAUGGGAUGUCCCAAGAACAGCUCGUUAAUUGUUAUAGAACAAUUUUAUGUCUUUCAUUAUUGUGAGAUCUUCCAACAAUUUUACGUUUCAUGUGUCUUGCUAUACAGAAGGCCUAUAUAAUUAUAAUUCGUUAUUAAGAAGGUAAAUUUUGUAACGAACUUUAAUAUGACAUUUUUAUCAAUUAAAUUUUACACUUCCCAGCACACUUUGCAUUGUAGCAUGUGUAAACAUAUGAUGAGAUAUUAAAAAAAGCGUUUUAAGUUCAUUUUCGUGCAUUUUUGUGAGUGUUCAUACAGUACAAAUCUGUUUUACUUAUUUCCGAAAUUGUCUGUCUCUUUGUACAAUGUGGUAAGUUUUGUUUCUUUUAGUUCUUUCAGAUAUACUGCAUUAUAUAGGUGAACUUGCAUUUAUCAGAUUCUCAUUCAUUAUAGAAAUAGGUAGAAAACUUCCCUUCUUUUUUUCCUUUUUUUUCCAAAUUGCAUUUAAUUAAUCGAGGCAUAAAACAUAGGCAAUUAUUAAUUGAAUACAAUGAGCAAAUGAAGGGUUCAACAUCAUUAAAUACUGUUUUGUUUUUUAAUGAGAGAAACGGAUGACAAAGAGACGGGAUAGUAUUCAUCUUCGUAUAUGAAACGUCCAUGUUGCAAUGAAGGUUCCCUACAACGAUUAAAACAUUCUAUCUCUAAAACUAAUCAAAAUAUCAUAAUUGAUAACUUUAAAAAAAAAUUGUUUGAUGUUUGAAUAGAGUAUAUAUAGCGCCUUCGUCUUCUUGUGAACCCAAUCAUUUGUGAUCAGACUGCAAACGCUUUAUAGCCAUAAUACCAUCUGCGAAGGUUUGUUGUUGCUAUUAACAUUAAAUACGAGACGGCAAUUAACCACUAA